This 1372-nucleotide ribosomal RNA is filed under the name uncultured bacterium. Its description in RNAcentral is "bacterial SSU rRNA". It matches the Rfam family "Bacterial small subunit ribosomal RNA", at positions 28 to 1381 of the family's 1533-position model. The record is from RNAcentral.
GAUGAACGCUGGCGGCGUGCCUAAUACAUGCAAGUCGAGCGAACGGACGAGAAGCUUGCUUCUCUGAUGUUAGCGGCGGACGGGUGAGUAACACGUGGAUAACCUACCUAUAAGACUGGGAUAACUUCGGGAAACCGGAGCUAAUACCGGAUGAUAUUUUGAACCGCAUGGUUCAAAAGUGAAAGACGGUCUUGCUGUCACUUAUAGAUGGAUCCGCGCUGCAUUAGCUAGUUGGUAAGGUAACGGCUUACCAAGGCAACGAUGCAUAGCCGACCUGAGAGGGUGAUCGGCCACACUGGAACUGAGACACGGUCCAGACUCCUACGGGAGGCAGCAGUAGGGAAUCUUCCGCAAUGGGCGAAAGCCUGACGGAGCAACGCCGCGUGAGUGAUGAAGGUCUUCGGAUCGUANAACUCUGUUAUUAGGGAAGAACAUAUGUGUAAGUAACUGUGCACAUCUUGACGGUACCUAAUCAGAAAGCCACGGCUAACUACGUGCCAGCAGCCGCGGUAAUACGUAGGUGGCAAGCGUUAUCCGGAAUUAUUGGGCGUAAAGCGCGCGUAGGCGGUUUUUUAAGUCUGAUGUGAAAGCCCACGGCUCAACCGUGGAGGGUCAUUGGAAACUGGAAAACUUGAGUGCAGAAGAGGAAAGUGGAAUUCCAUGUGUAGCGGUGAAAUGCGCAGAGAUAUGGAGGAACACCAGUGGCGAAGGCGACUUUCUGGUCUGUAACUGACGCUGAUGUGCGAAAGCGUGGGGAUCAAACAGGAUUAGAUACCCUGGUAGUCCACGCCGUAAACGAUGAGUGCUAAGUGUUAGGGGGUUUCCGCCCCUUAGUGCUGCAGCUAACGCAUUAAGCACUCCGCCUGGGGAGUACGACCGCAAGGUUGAAACUCAAAGGAAUUGACGGGGACCCGCACAAGCGGUGGAGCAUGUGGUUUAAUUCGAAGCAACGCGAAGAACCUUACCAAAUCUUGACAUCCUUUGACAACUCUAGAGAUAGAGCCUUCCCCUUCGGGGGACAAAGUGACAGGUGGUGCAUGGUUGUCGUCAGCUCGUGUCGUGAGAUGUUGGGUUAAGUCCCGCAACGAGCGCAACCCUUAAGCUUAGUUGCCAUCAUUAAGUUGGGCACUCUAAGUUGACUGCCGGUGACAAACCGGAGGAAGGUGGGGAUGACGUCAAAUCAUCAUGCCCCUUAUGAUUUGGGCUACACACGUGCUACAAUGGACAAUACAAAGGGCAGCGAAACCGCGAGGUCAAGCAAAUCCCAUAAAGUUGUUCUCAGUUCGGAUUGUAGUCUGCAACUCGACUACAUGAAGCUGGAAUCGCUAGUAAUCGUAGAUCAGCAUGCUACGGUGAAUACGUUCCCGGGUCU